UCACUUUUGGGGAGACGUGCCAAGCC
RNAcentral lists this small RNA (26 nucleotides) under Bombyx mori (domestic silkworm). RNAcentral's name for it is "ovarian small RNA-25512". The record is from RNAcentral. Lineage: Eukaryota; Metazoa; Arthropoda; Insecta; Lepidoptera; Bombycidae.